Molecule: long non-coding RNA, 1846 nt
Organism: Homo sapiens (human)
Lineage: Eukaryota; Metazoa; Chordata; Mammalia; Primates; Hominidae
Source: Ensembl
GCAAGGCAUACAGUGACAAGGAGGCUAAGCAGCUGCAGGAGUUUGUGGCUGAGGGUGGGGGGCUGCUGAUUGGGGGCCAGGCCUGGUGGUGGGCCUCCCAGAACCCUGGCCACUGCCCCUUGGCUGGCUUCCCUGGUAACAUCAUCCUCAACUGCUUUGGCCUCAGCAUCCUGCCUCAGACUCUCAAAGCAGGCUGCUUCCCCGUUCCCACCCCUGAGAUGAGAAGCUACCACUUCCGCAAGGCGCUCUCUCAAUUCCAGGCUAUACUGAACCACGAGAAUGGGAACUUGGAAAAGAGCUGUCUGGCAAAGUUGAGAGUUGAUGGUGCAGCCUUCCUACAGAUUCCUGCGGAGGGGGUCCCUGCUUACAUAUCCCUGCACAGGCUCCUGAGGAAGAUGCUACGAGGGUCUGGCCUCCCAGCUGUGAGCCGGGAAAAUCCAGUUGCCAGUGACUCCUAUGAGGCUGCGGUGCUCUCCCUGGCCACUGGGCUGGCUCACUCUGGAACUGACUGCUCCCAGCUGGCCCAGGGGCUUGGCACCUGGACCUGCUCCUCCAGUUUGUACCCCUCAAAACACCCCAUCACCGUGGAGAUCAAUGGAAUCAACCCAGAGUCUCACUCUGUCAUCCAGGUUGGAAUGCAGUAGCGCGAUCUCAGCUCAUGCAACCUCCACCUCCUGGGUUUAAGCAAUUCUCCUCUCUCAGCCUCCUGUGUUGCUGGGACUACAGGCACACGCCACCAUGCCUGGCUAAUUUUUGUAUUUUUAGUAGAGAGGGAGUUUCACCGUAAAGGUAAGGCUGGUCCGGAACUCCUGACCUCAGGUGAUCCACCUGCCUUGGCCUCCCAAAGUGCUGGGAUUACAGUCGUGAGCCACUGGGCCCAGCUGACUCCAUUCUUCAUCAGGUACUUUCAAGAAGAUGGGGAUUGGGACACUGCUUAAGGUUUAGAGGGGAUGAGUCUAAGAAGUAUGGAUGACUUGAGAUACACAGGGGAGAAGCUGUACCACUGGGAGGGGCUGGGAGGCCCCAAGUGGAGAUAUACUCACAUAGGAAGGAAGAACUGAGCCUUCUCUGUGACUUUUGUCAGGCAACAAUGAUUGCUGGGUGAGUACCGGGCUCUACCUCCUGGAAGGACAAAAUGCAGAAGUCUCACUGUCUGAAGCUGCUGCCUCUGCUGGCCUGAGGGUACAGAUUGGCUGCCACACCGAUGACCUUACCAAGGCCAGGAAGCUAUCUCGAGCCCCCGUGGUGACUCACCAAUGCUGGAUGGACAGGACUGAGCGGUCAGUCUCCUGCCUCUGGGGCGGCCUCCUCUACGUCAUCGUGCCCAAGGGCAGCCAACUAGGCCCUGUGCCUGUCACUAUCAGGGGAGCUGUGCCUGCCCCAUACUACAAGCUGGGUAAGACAUCGCUGGAGGAGUGGAAGAGGCAGAUGCAGGAGAACCUGGCUCCCUGGGGAGAGCUGGCCACGGACAACAUCAUCCUGACAGUGCCAACCACAAACCUUCAGGCCCUGAAGGACCCCGAGCCUGUGCUCCGCCUCUGGGAUGAGAUGAUGCAGGCUGUGGCCAGGCUGGCGGCUGAGCCCUUCCCUUUCCGCCGUCCUGAGAGGAUUGUGGCUGAUGUGCAGAUCUCAGCUGGCUGGAUGCAUUCAGGAUACCCCAUCAUGUGCCACCUGGAGUCUGUGAAGGAGAUCAUCAAUGAGAUGGACAUGAGGAGCAGGGGUGUGUGGGGCCCCAUCCAUGAGCUGGGCCACAACCAACAGUGGCAUGGAUGGGAGUUCCCCCCACACACUACUGAGGCCACCUGUAACCUUUGGUCAGUCUACGUGCAUGAAACAGUCCUGGGGA